RNAcentral lists this small RNA (477 nucleotides) under Pan troglodytes (chimpanzee). RNAcentral's name for it is "retained intron". The record is from RNAcentral. Lineage: Eukaryota; Metazoa; Chordata; Mammalia; Primates; Hominidae.
AGACUUUUCGGCAUCGGGCCAUCUCAGAUACUUGGCUGACGGUGAACCGCAUGGAACAGUGCAGGACGGAAUAUAGAGGAGCACUAUUAUGGAUGAAGGACGUGUCUCAGGAGCUUGAUCCAGACCUCUACAAGCAAAUGGAGAAGUUCAGGAAGGUACAAACACAAGUGCGCCUUGCAAAAAAAAACUUUGACAAAUUGAAGAUGGAUGUGUGUCAAAAAGUGGAUCUUCUUGGAGCAAGCAGAUGCAAUCUCUUGUCUCACAUGCUAGCAACAUACCAGGUAACAAAAUAAUGUUUGUUGCAAUGAACCAAGGAUGGCACAAGGUUUAAAUAACAUCAAAAUGGUGUUUGAGCUAAAAGUAAGCUUUGGCCAUUGUGAAGUUCUGAAUGCCUUUCCGUAAUUUCACUUCCCACAUCUCUGCCUUCUAGGGUCCUACGUUUAACCAAACCAAAUAGUAGCUAUUUCCUGUAUAUAC